Molecule: ribosomal RNA, 253 nt
Filed under: uncultured bacterium
Lineage: Bacteria
Description: partial 16S ribosomal RNA
Rfam family: Bacterial small subunit ribosomal RNA
Source: RNAcentral
UACAGGGGGUGCAAACGUUGCUCGGAAUCAUUGGGCGUAAAGCGCACGUAGGCGGUCUGUUAUGUCGGAUGUGAAAGCCCUUGGCUUAACUGAGGAAGUGCAUCCGAAACUGGCAGGCUAGAGUACUAAAGAGGGUCGCGGAAUUCCUGGUGUAGCGGUGAAAUGCGUAGAUAUCAGGAGGAACACCUGCGGUGUAGACGGCUUUCUGGACCAUUGUUGACGCUGAGACACGAAAGCGUGGGUAGCAAACAGG